This 253-nucleotide ribosomal RNA is filed under the name uncultured bacterium. RNAcentral describes it as "partial 16S ribosomal RNA". It matches the Rfam family "Bacterial small subunit ribosomal RNA", at positions 524 to 776 of the family's 1533-position model. The record is from RNAcentral.
UACGUAGGGUGCGAGCGUUGUCCGGAAUUACUGGGCGUAAAGAGCUCGUAGGUGGUUUGUCGCGUUGUUCGUGAAAACUCACAGCUUAACUGUGGGCGUGCGGGCGAUACGGGCAGACUGGAGUACUGCAGGGGAGACUGGAAUUCCUGGUGUAGCGGUGAAAUGCGCAGAUAUCAGGAGGAACACCGGUGGCGAAGGCGGGUCUCUGGGCAAUAACUGACGCUGAGGAGCGAAAGCGUGGGGAGCGAACAGG